UCCUCAUUUCACACACUCUCUCACCGGUCAGAGAGGCGAGAGACUGUGCGAAAUGAAGAGA
Non-coding RNA from Pristionchus pacificus, 61 nucleotides. The record is from Rfam. Lineage: Eukaryota; Metazoa; Nematoda; Chromadorea; Rhabditida; Neodiplogasteridae.